GCGCUUGCUUCGGCAAUGCACAUACUAAAACUGGAACAUUACAGAUGUGAUCAGCACAGAUCCUACACAAGGAUGACAUGAGGCAUUGCAAAUUUUU
Small nuclear RNA from Ochotona princeps (American pika), 97 nucleotides. NCBI's taxonomy places the organism in Eukaryota, Metazoa, Chordata, Mammalia, Lagomorpha, Ochotonidae. The record is from Ensembl.